Aegilops tauschii subsp. strangulata is the source of this 937-nucleotide non-coding RNA. NCBI's taxonomy places the organism in Eukaryota, Viridiplantae, Streptophyta, Magnoliopsida, Poales, Poaceae. The record is from RefSeq and is a predicted model, not a curated record.
UCUACUGAGAAUUGUUUUUUAGUUGACUUCCCAGUAACUUUUAUGAGUUACAGGGAGUUGGACCUGAUAUAUCAAUCAACGUUUAUGUAUAUGAAUCCCUGAGGUCUCAUUGGCAAAUGGAAAGUUGAAUGUCAAACUGUGCGACCAAUGAUUUGCUAUGGUUAAUUCCAGUUGGGUGUGUUAACCUACAGUAAUCAAUCAAGUCAACAAAUAUAACAAUGAUACUUUGUCUUCUGAUUUUUGGUGGUGAUUUUUUUUGUGACUGAACUAACAGGAGCUGAAGCAUGUGUUCUUAUUUUUUUAUAUGACUAGAUGCAUAUGAACUGAAGCUCCAUAAUUUUCUUUUCAAGUCGACAUUGGUGGCAACUCCCUACAAUUAGCGUUAUUUACAACCAAUGAAGUCUUAUAAUUUUCUUUCUUAGAAAUAUACAGUGACACUGACUAUCAUUUAGUAGCUCUACAGGCACUAGCCAAAAACAAUAAUGUUUAUUUAUUUAACCACCAAAUAGAACAAUAGGUUAUUCUGCAUUAUGGGUACACAAAUCACAACACUAUAUUUCAGCUGUAGAAAUCUGUGUGGAUGCCUGCUGAUAUUUUAAGCCUACAUAUUGCCGAUUUGGUUUGAGGAAUGCUUGAAGCAUAAUUUACUCCCUAAUGUGCAAAUAGCAGUAUCAUUUUUUGUCAAGAAACUGAGAAGACGGAAGAGAGUUGGUGUUGUCAGUGUGGUGAGCCUAUGCGGCAACCACAAGGCUGAAGUCUGCUUUGAUCGUUGUUCAAGAUUUGAGCCUUGGCUCCGGUUUUGAUAGCUCUAUAUCAGGAGUACAUGUCAUGAUUGUUGGAUACACAUGCAGACUUUCAGCGAGUUUUUGUUCUCGGACUUGGGAUCCACAGUCCAAAGUUGAUUGGUGGAUCAAGUGAACUUGGUGCAUCUCCAUUC